RNAcentral lists this ribosomal RNA (496 nucleotides) under uncultured bacterium. Its description in RNAcentral is "partial 16S ribosomal RNA". It matches the Rfam family "Bacterial small subunit ribosomal RNA", at positions 29 to 507 of the family's 1533-position model. The record is from RNAcentral.
AUGAACGCUGGCGGCGUGCCUAAUACAUGCAAGUCGAGCGAACAGACGAGGAGCUUGCUCCUCUGACGUUAGCGGCGGACGGGUGAGUAACACGUGGAUAACCUACCUAUAAGACUGGGAUAACUUCGGGAAACCGGAGCUAAUACCGGAUAAUAUAUUGAACCGCAUGGUUCAAUAGUGAAAGACGGUUUUGCUGUCACUUAUAGAUGGAUCCGCGCCGCAUUAGCUAGUUGGUAAGGUAACGGCUUACCAAGGCAACGAUGCGUAGCCGACCUGAGAGGGUGAUCGGCCACACCGGAACUGAGACACGGUCCAGACUCCUACGGGAGGCAGUAGUAGGGAAUCUUCCGCAAUGGGCGAAAGCUUGACGGAGCAACGCCGCGUGAGUGAUGAAGGUCUUCGGAUCGUAAAACUCUGUUAUUAGGGAAGAACAAAUGUGUAAGUAACUAUGCACGUCUUGACGGUACCUAAUCAGAAAGCCACGGCUAACUACGUG